Molecule: long non-coding RNA, 2479 nt
Filed under: Homo sapiens (human)
Lineage: Eukaryota; Metazoa; Chordata; Mammalia; Primates; Hominidae
Description: HSALNT0189613
Source: RNAcentral
AUUUUUUUUGAACUUUUAAAAAUGAUGUUUAUUUAUAUUAGUUUUUAAUCAAAGAAAAACAUAUACAUAGUUAAAAAGAAAUCAAAUAAUGCUGCUGGAUUGGUAGUGAAAACCAGCAAACCUUUGCCUUUUCUCUACCCACCCCGAUUUCAUUUUUCCAGAGACAAUCACUUUUAACCCUUAGCAGUUUCUUAUUGUAGUUUUUGUUUUGUUUUGUUUUGUUUUGUUCUGAAAAGACAUGUGUAUACUGCUUUUUCUGGACUUUUCUACAACAGACCUUGAUUGGCUUGCCGCCAUUACACAAUCUCUCUUCUCUCCCAUCCUCCCAAUGUUAUAGAAUUAUUUCUUAUAAAAUCAAUAUUCAGUAAUUACAUAAUUAUGACUAACUUUAUAUGGCUAGUAUUGUUCACAGUUCAGAUAUACAGUGUAGUUUUUGAAUUUUUAUUUUUCCUGGGGUUCAUAAUUACCUCAGUUUUGUUUUCUUAACAAAAGAAAAAUUUGCAGAUCACUAAUUUAUCCCCAUGCUCUCUGGAAAAUGAAAGCUCUCUAGUCUAUAUUCAAAUACACCAGGUACUCUAUCAAUUUUUAUUUUUUCAAAUAUUCUACCUGAGUUCUCCAUCUUUAGGCAUUUCCUGUUGACUUCUUACUGUUCUCCCCUACCAUUCUCCCUCUUUAAUACAGUUAUAUUACUAUUUUAGAAACUUUAUGGUUACCUUGUAAGUAAUAAAUGUCUUUUCUCCCUCAACAACAGACCAUAUCUUUCAACUUCCCCCCGCCAACUUUUUUUUUUUUUUUUUUUUUUUUUUGAGACGGAGUUUCACUCUUGUUGCCCAGGCUGGAGUGCAAUGGCGUGAUCUCGGCCCACUGCAAACUCCAUCUCCCAGGUUCAAGCUAUUCUCCUGCCUCAGCCUCCCGAGUAGCUGGGAUUUCAGGCGCCCGCCAUCACACCCGGCUGAUUUUUGUAUUUUUGGUAGAGACGGAGUUUCACCAAGUUGGCCAGGCUGGUCUUGAACUCCUGACCUCAGGUGAUCCCCCCGCCUCGGCCUACCAAAGUGCUGGGAUUACAGGUGUGAGCCACUGUGCCUGGCUCAACUGUCCACUUUAUAAGGACACUAUCACCAUUCCAUUUACCUUUCUCUCUCUCCUUCAACGUUCCCACUUGUAUUUCCGCUGAUAUUUUUAAAAUAUGGCAGAUAACAUUUGCAUUCCACUUGGUAACCUUAAUUAAGUAGGCCCCUAAUCAAUAAAAAUCAUAAACAGGAUUUUUAUUUUACGGUUAUUUAAACGCUAUUCACUGAACAGCCAAGCUUUGUGCUAGGAAGGGAUUUCUUUUUCUUUGGCUCCAAGCUCUUGAUUGACAUCCUGCCACAGGAGCAUUGAAAUACAGCCCAUUUUCUUACACUCUCACCAUUCAUUCAAAAUCUUGCAGCAUUUUAUAUUUGGUACUUGGAGGAGGAUGCUUUUCCUGUACAGUUUUAUUUUUUUUCACCUAGUUUCUAAUUAUUAUUGUUUUCUCUUGUGGGAUGAAGAAGUAUAUGCCUUCUAUAUCAUAUCCUUAAUACCUUCAGCUUCUUCCUCCUUGAAGCCUUGCUUACGAUCCAAUCCAAUAUUCCUGAAGUUUACUGAUAUUUUUUUCCUGAAAAUUUUAGCCUUUAGAAAAAAAAAAGCGUUCUUUGCCCUUUUUCACAUCCUGAAAUUUGUCAGGUGUUUAUUUUAAGGUUGCAUAGUUUCUUAGAUCUUUUCAAGGUUCUUAACUGAAGUUCUCUGUUCCCGGAGUCGCAUAUUUCCUCUUUCUAGGAAUUGCAGGCUCUCCGUGCUCCCAGAGGAGUUCCACUGGCAGUGAAGAGCCCAGCCACGAAGGGCGCCUGAGCACUCUCAAGACUGUGGGACUCGAGGUAGGCAGCUCUGCUGCGCCGCGGGAGCCCCUGGGAGUCUGCCAUCAUGCUGUCCCGGGAGGCCGAGGCCGGCAGCUCAGUGGCGGCUCUAAAAGUGUACCUGCAAGCAGAUGUUGAGGAUCACAGAGCUAAUUGUAGUUGUGUCUUCAGAAGAAAUGAUGGUCAUGACCUCUGGAAAAUAAAUAAGAUAAAUUAAGAAAUUACUGAUACUCCUACUAAAUAGUUGGCCAGCUAAUUUCCUACCAACUCAGUUAGAUUCAAAUGAUAUAAACUAAUGAUAGAUAAAAGGAACAGGAGUAAUAUAAGAGUAUUCCUAAAAAGCAUAAUUAAUAAUAAUAAUUUCUAACUGUUUUUAAGAUAAAACUUUAAUUCUACUUAAAAAUAAUUUUUUACUGAUGUGGCAGUCUUCUUUCCCUGGAUAUAUAGUGGUUAAGAAAGAAUAAAAUUUCUCAAUAUCAAAACUUGUGUUUUCACCUCUAUCAUCAGUAUUGAAUGAAGUAUCUUUAGAUCCAGGGUGAAGCUGCUCUUAACUAGCUUCUAAAGAGUUCCUCAAUCUUUUUUUUUUUUUUUUUUUUUUUUGAGAC